RNAcentral lists this long non-coding RNA (541 nucleotides) under Sorghum bicolor (sorghum). RNAcentral describes it as "long non-coding RNA (SBIC_LNC013474)". Lineage: Eukaryota; Viridiplantae; Streptophyta; Magnoliopsida; Poales; Poaceae. The record is from RNAcentral.
CCCCCCUAUAAAAGGGCAUUGGGGAGGCUCUUGGGUCUCACCCUUGCUGCCUGUUGUUUGCGCUUCUUCCUUCGCCCACUCGCAUUCGCUCUAGUUGCGUAUAGCUCUUAAGUGUUUGCGGAGGAUAUAAAGUGGCUCAUUUUCCUUCGCCUCGUCCUUCAAGGUCAGAUUUUUCUGGUCCUUUGCGUAAUUUUCUUAGUGUGAGGUCCGGUGGUUGGUUGCGAAGGUUUGAGGAGUGGAUGCUUGAGGUGGCAGCAGCUCAAGACCUGGAGGAGACGUUGUCCGACGUCGAAGCUUCUGUUGGUGAUCUGAUCAGCGCGAAGGAGUUUGAGGAGAUGGCUGCAAUUACCUUUGAGUUUGGGGAGUCAACAGUGAGGACGGAGGAUAUCGCUGACAUGGUUGAAGCGCGGUUUUUCAAGGAUGGCCGCGCGAAGGCUCCUCCUGUGGGUCAGACGGUGCCUGCGCCUGAAGAGGGUUAUGCUGUUGUAUUCAGAGACUUUUUUACCUGCGGACUUCGGAUGCCUCCGUAUCAUUUCCUUCG